RNAcentral lists this ribosomal RNA (315 nucleotides) under Escherichia coli O174:H21 str. 03-3269. RNAcentral's name for it is "bacterial SSU rRNA". It matches the Rfam family "Bacterial small subunit ribosomal RNA", at positions 1 to 310 of the family's 1533-position model. The record is from RNAcentral. Lineage: Bacteria; Pseudomonadati; Pseudomonadota; Gammaproteobacteria; Enterobacterales; Enterobacteriaceae.
UUAAAUUGAAGAGUUUGAUCAUGGCUCAGAUUGAACGCUGGCGGCAGGCCUAACACAUGCAAGUCGAACGGUAACAGGAAGAAGCUUGCUUCUUUGCUGACGAGUGGCGGACGGGUGAGUAAUGUCUGGGAAACUGCCUGAUGGAGGGGGAUAACUACUGGAAACGGUAGCUAAUACCGCAUAACGUCGCAAGACCAAAGAGGGGGACCUUCGGGCCUCUUGCCAUCGGAUGUGCCCAGAUGGGAUUAGCUAGUAGGUGGGGUAACGGCUCACCUAGGCGACGAUCCCUAGCUGGUCUGAGAGGAUGACCAGCCA